RNAcentral lists this ribosomal RNA (273 nucleotides) under uncultured bacterium. Its description in RNAcentral is "partial 16S ribosomal RNA". It matches the Rfam family "Bacterial small subunit ribosomal RNA", at positions 524 to 796 of the family's 1533-position model. The record is from RNAcentral.
UACGUAGGUGGCAAGCGUUGUCCGGAAUUAUUGGGCGUAAAGCGCGCGCAGGCGGUCCUUUAAGUCUGAUGUGAAAGCCCUCGGCUCAACCGAGGAGGGUCAUUGGAAACUGGAGGACUUGAGUGCAGGAGAGGAAAGUGGAAUUCCAAGUGUAGCGGUGAAAUGCGUAGAGAUUUGGAGGAACACCAGUGGCGAAGGCGACUUUCUGGUCUGUAACUGACGCUGAGGCGCGAAAGCGUGGGGAGCAAACAGGAUUAGAAACCCCCGUAGUCC